CUUACGGGGCGCACCAGUGGGGAAUAUUGCACAAUGGGCGCAAGCCUGAUGCAGCCAUGCCGCGUGUAUGAAGAAGGCCCUAGGGUUGUAAAGUACUUUCAGUCGGGAGGGAGGCGUUGAUGCUAAUAUCAUCAGCGAUUGACGUUACCGACAGAAGAAGCACCGGCUAACUCCGUGCCAGCAGCCGCGGUAAUACGGAGGGUGCAAGCGUUAAUCGGAAUUACUGGGCGUAAAGCGCACGCAGGCGGUUGAUUAAGUUAGAUGUGAAAUCCCCGGGCUUAACCUGGGAAUGGCAUCUAAGACUGGUCAGCUAGAGUCUUGUAGAGGGGGGUAGAAUUCCAGGUGUAGCGGUGAAAUGCGUAGAGAUCUGAAGGAAUACCAGUGGCGAAGGCGGCCCCCUGGACAAAGACUGACGCUCAGAUGCGAAAGCGUGGGGAGCAAACAGGAUUAGAUACCCGCGUAGUC
RNAcentral lists this ribosomal RNA (465 nucleotides) under uncultured bacterium. RNAcentral describes it as "bacterial SSU rRNA". It matches the Rfam family "Bacterial small subunit ribosomal RNA", at positions 338 to 795 of the family's 1533-position model. The record is from RNAcentral.